CGUCACUUCCGGCCGGAGAGCCUCUCGGCCCUGCUGUCCCGGUAAGCUCCUAGCUGCUGGUUUGAAGUCACUUCCGACCUGGUUCUCGGCUCCCUCGGGGAUCCGGGUGCUCUGCAGAUCUUGUUUACCCGGUUCUAUUUCGCCUGCCAUCCUAAACUGCGGCUGUGUAAUCCAGCACGGAGAAAAAAACCUGAUUAGUUUAUCAGACAAGUCAGCUCUGAUGACUUCCUGCCAUCGUGGAAUGAAAUUUCACAGCACAUUGCCGAGUUUCGAUAGUCAUCUCUGUUCUCUGGUCUUACUGUGUGUGUCAUAUCACAUAAUUGUCAGGACCUAAGAUGUCUGUCCCUGUUAAGAAGC
RNAcentral lists this long non-coding RNA (357 nucleotides) under Equus caballus (horse). RNAcentral's name for it is "lncRNA (ENSECAG00000056560.1)". The record is from RNAcentral. Lineage: Eukaryota; Metazoa; Chordata; Mammalia; Perissodactyla; Equidae.